GCUUGCAUCGACUCACAUUCCUUUUCGAGCACAGCAUCACGCGCGCACCACCACCACCACCACACACUCUCUAUCACCAUGUCCGUUGAGGAGGCCCAGAACGCGGCGGCGAUGGCCGACGAGGAGAUCCCGACGCUCGAGGCGGCUGAGGUGCCACAGAACGCGAAGCAGUCGAAGCGCUACGCCAAGGCCAUGGCCAAGAUGGGCCUCAAGCCGGAGUCCAACAUUACGAAGGUCACCAUUCGCAAGGUUGGCUCCCUGUCCUUCGCCAUGGUGCAGCCAGAGGUGUACCGCUUCCCUGGCACCAACACCUUCGUCAUCUUCGGCGAGGCGCAGCUGGAGGACACGAGUGCGCUAGCGCAGGAGGCUGCUGCCCGCGCUGCCGUGUCUGGUGCCGCGUCGGCUUCCUCUGACGCCGCUGCAUCUGUGCCGGCGGCGGAGGAAGAUGACGACGAGGAGGUGGGCGCCGGCGACCUGGACGAGAAGGAGAUCAACGUGGUGAUGAGCCAGGCGAACGUGUCUCGCAACAAGGCCAUCAAGGCGCUCAAGAACAACAACGGCGACAUCGUCAACACCAUCAUGGAGCUAACCAUGUAGAGCCGAUGGGAAAGCAAGAGGUGGGAGGCGGCCGUGCGCUGCCGAUGACCUCUCGAACUUCACGGCUCCGAUGAACGUCGAAGAUCAUGUUACGCAUGUUGCUGACUCUGCACGCCACGCCACUGAGUCGCACCGGCACACGUGUGCAAGGCAUCCACUGCCGGCAGCAGUCACGGUGGUGAUGAGGAAGCGGGAUGUCGACAGAAGGGCCAGGCUGCUGCGUCUAUGUGCUCACCGGGGGCGCACACGCAUUCCGUUCUCUCCAUCGCAUGCGGUCCGGCUGGCCCUUGACCCCCUCCCCCCGCACCCCUCUUUCGGCCAUCACCACCACCGGCCGGGUGCAUCGUGUUCUCGCCGUCCGCAUCGGCUUGCGCGUGUGUAUGCGGGGGCGGGCGCACGUCUCUCCUAAACGCCGCGGCACACGGACGCGCUCCACCUUCGCGUUGAAAUCCCUCUUUCGUUUCCGUUUUACCUACGGGCAUGGGCCUUGCCGCCGCCUUCACAGCAGCGGAGAGCGGUGGGAAGGGGGGAGGCGGCGCGCGGGUGCAUCGCACAGCGCCAGCGUGUGAGCCUGUGCUCCGCUAAUUUCUGGUCUGUGGUGUGGUUCAUGUCAAGAAGCCUUACUCGCCCUUUUCCGUUGCCUCAUUUACAUGAUUUUGCAC
This 1259-nucleotide unclassified non-coding RNA is filed under the name Leishmania donovani. RNAcentral's name for it is "gene:LdHU3.04.0980(CDS-product:60S_ribosomal_prot ein_L10_putative)". The record is from RNAcentral. Lineage: Eukaryota; Euglenozoa; Kinetoplastea; Trypanosomatida; Trypanosomatidae.